This is a long non-coding RNA of Canis lupus familiaris (dog), 772 nucleotides long. RefSeq lists it as uncharacterized. The transcript has 3 exons. Lineage: Eukaryota; Metazoa; Chordata; Mammalia; Carnivora; Canidae. The record is from RefSeq and is a predicted model, not a curated record.
CAGGCAACCUGACAGGUAUGUUUUCCCACUGCCUUCCCUGUAAAGGAAAAUGCAGUCCUUAAACAUACAGGAUCAAAAUACCCUCUUUCCAUUCACUUUCCCAGAUUCUGUCUUGAGGCAACUUAGAGAGCCAGACAGAGUAACAGUGCUAGGUGGCAACUUUAGAAUUUAAAGCUAUUUUAAAAUUCUGUGAUGUCACUGAGGACCAGGGUUAAUUCUUAGAAACCAACCUUAUAUUUGAGGUCUAUGUACAGUAACUGCAAUCUGCUGAUUGUGGGAGUUGACCAAACACACAUCUCAUAUACUCCUACUCAGGGUAUUUCCCUAUUUUUCUACCUCCUUCAUAUCUCCCUCCUCCUUAUCUGUGGUAAACUGUGAAGGAAUUCACACCCCGGGUUUAUGCUAAUAUGAACUCUUUCCAGAAGGUCAGAAAAUUUGUCUCAAAAUCAUGGUAGGGAAAGGAGACUCUCUACACCCUGUCGCAAAAAAGAUUUUCAAGUUGAGGACGGCCUGGCUGCUUGGAAUAGCUGAAGAUGAGGAAAUGGCCAGUUAGAAAGGAUAAGUGGUUGAUGGCCAUUACCACCCUGACUGUGUUGGAGCUCAUCUGAUCUCAGAAGCUAAGCAGGUCCGGCCUGCUUGUAAUGGGGUGAGAGAAAGCACAAGUGACUCACCCCACUGUAAUAAGUGAAAACUGUGAAAAGUGUAAAUACUCAUAUUCUGAAUUAAAUAUUCAGUAUUAAAAUGUUGGUAUGUAUUGACUAUUGAAGAAAAA